This 1104-nucleotide ribosomal RNA is filed under the name Vibrio sp. 818M. RNAcentral's name for it is "bacterial SSU rRNA". It matches the Rfam family "Bacterial small subunit ribosomal RNA", at positions 384 to 1484 of the family's 1533-position model. The record is from RNAcentral. Lineage: Bacteria; Pseudomonadati; Pseudomonadota; Gammaproteobacteria; Vibrionales; Vibrionaceae.
UGAUGAGCCAUGCCGCGUGUAUGAAGAAGGCCUUCGGGUUGUAAAGUACUUUCAGUUGUGAGGAAGGGGGUGUCGUUAAUAGCGGCAUCUCUUGACGUUAGCAACAGAAGAAGCACCGGCUAACUCCGUGCCAGCAGCCGCGGUAAUACGGAGGGUGCGAGCGUUAAUCGGAAUUACUGGGCGUAAAGCGCAUGCAGGUGGUUCAUUAAGUCAGAUGUGAAAGCCCGGGGCUCAACCUCGGAACUGCAUUUGAAACUGGUGAACUAGAGUACUGUAGAGGGGGGUAGAAUUUCAGGUGUAGCGGUGAAAUGCGUAGAGAUCUGAAGGAAUACCAGUGGCGAAGGCGGCCCCCUGGACAGAUACUGACACUCAGAUGCGAAAGCGUGGGGAGCAAACAGGAUUAGAUACCCUGGUAGUCCACGCCGUAAACGAUGUCUACUUGGAGGUUGUGGCCUUGAGCCGUGGCUUUCGGAGCUAACGCGUUAAGUAGACCGCCUGGGGAGUACGGUCGCAAGAUUAAAACUCAAAUGAAUUGACGGGGGCCCGCACAAGCGGUGGAGCAUGUGGUUUAAUUCGAUGCAACGCGAAGAACCUUACCUACUCUUGACAUCCAGAGAAGCCAGCGGAGACGCAGGUGUGCCUUCGGGAGCUCUGAGACAGGUGCUGCAUGGCUGUCGUCAGCUCGUGUUGUGAAAUGUUGGGUUAAGUCCCGCAACGAGCGCAACCCUUAUCCUUGUUUGCCAGCGAGUAAUGUCGGGAACUCCAGGGAGACUGCCGGUGAUAAACCGGAGGAAGGUGGGGACGACGUCAAGUCAUCAUGGCCCUUACGAGUAGGGCUACACACGUGCUACAAUGGCGCAUACAGAGGGCAGCGAACUUGCGAGAGUGAGCGAAUCCCAAAAAGUGCGUCGUAGUCCGGAUUGGAGUCUGCAACUCGACUCCAUGAAGUCGGAAUCGCUAGUAAUCGUAGAUCAGAAUGCUACGGUGAAUACGUUCCCGGGCCUUGUACACACCGCCCGUCACACCAUGGGAGUGGGCUGCAAAAGAAGUGGGUAGUUUAACCUUUCGGGGAAGACUCUCACCUUUUGGGGUUGAGAGGGGGAG